AGUAUAUAAUUGAAAACUCUUCCAGAUGUCUAAUUUUAGGGGGGGGGUAUGAUAUAAACGGGAACGCGCAAGUUUACACUUACAGUUGUGAUGCGCUUUCACUUUGAAAGAUAUUCUGUGGAUAUUACAGAGUUAACAGAAAACACUGAGGUGGAGGAACAUGAAGAACAGGGCGGCAGUCGUCAGGUGUAGGCAAAUCAUUUAUACACAGGACAGAGGACACAGCGCAGAUGAAUCUCCGGAAGGCACUGAACAUCGCAGAAAAUGUGGAAAUGCACGAAGGUUAUUAACGACGCCUCGCUUCGAUGUCCCGACAUAAACUUACGCCUUAUGGCUGCUGUGACACGGAGGCAGUGCGGUGUGUAGGUCUUAAUGCAACUUGACGACUCAUCGCCCAUACAUCCUGUGAAUGACCUUUUUGCUAAAGCCUAACGUCAUCGUCUAGCAGUAGGUACAAUUCCGCAUCACCGAUGACCAGGGUGAAGUUGUAGCAGACGAAAUUUUAGACAUACAUUAGUAAGGCAGUAGAGGGCGUAAGCUGUCAGUUUGUACUCCUGUAUAAACUCUGGGCGCCACACGGGCUACGAAGAGUAAAUAAUAAAUAUAAGUCACGGAUAUCUGAAAUAAACAACUUGUACUCUGUAUAAACUCGGGCGACACACGGGCUAUGAAGAGUAAAGUAACAGUCACAAAUACGUGAAAUACAAGACAUAGAACUUUUAAGUGCUAGAGAGGAAUACAUAAAAUGUGAGAGUUAACUUAAAAUGCAGAAAUCAAUGUACAUGUUGUAUAUAAAAUGUACAUUGUUCGAUUUUCUUUCCCUUGAUUGUAAAUCUGAGCUAUACAUCUAACAAUCACAUUCUUUUGUUACUUAUUCAAAAACUGAAUGACCUGGCUUACCAGUGAGAAAGUACAUGUCUGAUCAUGUAGAAAGGAAAAGCACUUUAUUAAUAAGUUGUUGUUCUUUUUUUAGAAUCGUUUUUCUUCUUCUCGUGAAGUGGAAACAAACCUCUGAGAUGGCGAUCAAGAAAUCGUGUGCAUGUCUGUAAACUGGUGAAAAGACUCCAGAAAUAUGUGUCCAUUGGGAGCCUGAAAAUAAUGACAAAUAUUCUCCUCUAUCAUAAAUGUCAUAAAUUCAUUGUGAUAAAGGGCGAGAUCUUGCUCAUUUCUCGGUGUAACAAUUCAACACAGUUUUCAAAAAUCUCCCCUACAGCCUGCAUAUACAUGUACAUGUAUGUAUUGCAGUUUUUGCUUGCUUUGAGAUAAAAAAAAUGUUCCUCUGGUAAAUGGAGUCUUUUAGGCAUCUCUGUAGUGAAGAUGUCUCAGAACUGGUGGUUAGCUACUUUGGUGGAGAUUUAUAGUGCAGACUGCCCAGCAGGGUCCCUAAGUACUAUACUUUGUUAUGUUGAGGUGUCGGUGGUGGUCAACCCUCGGGUCCCCUGGGAAUGGGGACGGGGUCUUCUGGAAGAUCCGGGGACUAGCUGGUUAGCUGUGGCGGAUUAGUCUUUUUAAUCACACAGACUCCAUGUUAGACUAUGCUUUAUUCAGCAUCAAUAAAAACACUAUCAGACUUUCAAUAUGAAGAGCUCCCUUAAGGGGAGAUAAACAAUAUAAAGAGUGCUCUUAGGGGUAGUCUGGUCCCCCUUCCCACAAUUCUGUUCGCGUACUCUCUACAUUGAGGUGAUAAUUGUAGGCACAUCAUUUCAGCUUGGAGUAUAAGAAAGAAAUAAUUUGCAUUUAUUAGAGGAUUAAGAAAAACAGGUUUGUAAAUGUAAUCAUAAGCAGACUCUGCUAUCAGGGUUGGCAAGAAAGUGGUCAGUAUGAGUAUUGAUCGGGUUGGUGGUCAAUACAAGUCAAUACUGGUUAAAACCGGUCAAUACUGGUAGAUUGAAAACUAUUUGGUCAUUAUAGUCUGUGUUAUUUAUUCUACAUGUUUAAGUUACCCUUAUGGUAUAUACUGUAAUUCAUAACAUGCACUAUCAGUUUAAAUUAUACCUAUAAGUCAUAAUAUUAAAUAAAUAAUGUACUGUAAAUGACUCUGUUGAAUUGGGGAAGUAUAAAAGUUUUGAUCUGUUCCAUAGUUUAACAAGAACUACCUAUUGUUUCAAAUCUUCAUUUCAAC
This is a long non-coding RNA of Ostrea edulis (European flat oyster), 2122 nucleotides long. RefSeq lists it as uncharacterized. The transcript has 2 exons. The record is from RefSeq and is a predicted model, not a curated record. NCBI's taxonomy places the organism in Eukaryota, Metazoa, Mollusca, Bivalvia, Ostreida, Ostreidae.